Molecule: long non-coding RNA, 9294 nt
Filed under: Triticum aestivum (bread wheat)
Lineage: Eukaryota; Viridiplantae; Streptophyta; Magnoliopsida; Poales; Poaceae
Description: long non-coding RNA (TAES_LNC027856)
Source: RNAcentral
UGUUUUUUUUUGUGUAUUUAGAGUUUCUUUGUGAAUAUUUUUGCUUUAGGUACAAAAAAUUACAAACUUUCUGUUAGUGCACAUAGUUUUCAAAUUUGAAUAGUUUAAAUUUUGAAUUAUUUGAAAUUAGUGUGAAUCAUUAGUUUGUGAAUAACUUAACUUUAAAAAUCAGUAAAGGCAUGAAAGAAUUUGUUUGCACAUAAAAUUUCUUCGCGUUUCAAAUGCCAAAACACAUAACUACCCUAACUAUUAUAGAGAUUCCUCUCUGGGUGUGAAACACAGAAGAAAGUGAUGAUAGUGAAGCCGAUCACAUCCCAGAUCUUUGGGUGUGAAACUUUUUCUUCGCGUGUGUCCCUUUGAGCCGUAACCAUGGAAAAUCUUCAUCAUUUAACGGGAUGCUCGGGUCAAUAUUCACUGUGAAUGGAGCAAUUUCAUCAAACUUUUCAUAAUCUUCUGACUUGUCUGUCUUGUCAUCCACUCCCACGAUGUUUCUCUUCCCAGAAAGAACUAUGUGCCGCUUUGGCUCAUCGUACGAUGCAUUCGCUUCCUUAUCUUUUCUUUUUCUUGGCUUGGUAGACAUGUCCUUCACAUAGAAAACCUGUGCCACAUCAUUGGCUAGGACGAAUGGUUCAUCUGCAUACGCAAGAUUGUUGAGAUCCACUGUUGUCAUUCCGUACUGCGGGUCUUCCGUUACCCCGCCUCGUGUCAUAUUGACCCAUUUGCACCGAAACAAAGGGACCUUUAAACCACGUCGAUAGUCAAGUUCCCAUAUGUCCUGUAUAUAACCAUAAUAUGUUUCCUUUCCCGUCUUGGUUUCUGCAUCAAAGCGGACACCACUGUUUUGGUUGGUGCUCUUCUUAUCUUGGGCGAUCGUGUAAAAUAUAUUACCAUUUAUCUCGUACCCUUUGAAAGUCAUUAUAUUCGAAGAUGGUAACUGGGACAGCAAGUACAUGUCAUCUUCAAUAGAGGUGUCAUGCAUGGUACGUGUCUGCAACCAGCUGGUGAAACUCCUGAUUUCUUCACGUGUAAUCCAGUCAUCAGACCGCUCCGGGUGUUUGGAGCGUAGCAAAUUCUUGUGUUCAUCCAUAUACGGAGCCACCAAGGCGGAAUUCUGUAGAACUAUAUAGUGUGCUUCAGUGAGAGAAUGUCCGUCCAUACAUAUUAUUUGUUCCCUUCCUAGCGUGCCUUUUCCAUCCAGUCUGCCCUUAUGCCGCGAUUCAGGAACACCAAUCGGCUUAAGGUCAGGAAUAAAGUCAAUACAAAACUCAAUGACCUCCUCAUUUUGAUGGCCCUUGGAGAUGCUUCCUUCUGGCCUAGCACGGUUAUGAACAUAUUUCUUUAAGACUCCCAUGAACCUCUCAAAGGGGAACAUAUUGUGUAGAAAUACAGGACCCAAAACGUUAAUCUCUUCGCAUAGGUGAACUAGGACGUGCGUCAUGAUGUUGAAGAAGGAUGGUGGGAGCACCAACUCGAAACUGACAAGACAUUGCACCAAAUCAUUCUGUAACCUUGGUAUGAUUUCUGGAUCGAUUACCUUCUGAGAGAUUGCAUUGAGAAAUGCACAUAGCUUCACAAUGGCUAAUCGAACGUUUUCCGAUAGAAGCCCCCUCAAUGCAACCGGAAGCAGUUGUGUCAUAAUCACGUGGCAGUCAUGAGACUUUAGGUUCUGGAACUUUUUCUCUGGCAUGUUUAUUAUUCCCUUUAUAUUCGACGAGAAGCCAGACGGUACCUUAAUACUGAGAGGCAUUCAAAGAAGAUUUCCUUCUCUUCUUUGGUAAGAGCGUAGCUUGCAUGACCCUGAUGUAUCCCGUCUUCUCCGUGCAUACGUUGCUGGUCCUCCCGUGCCUCAGGUGUAUCUUUUGUCUUCUCAUACACGCCCAAGAAGCCAAGCAGGGUCACGCAAAGAUUCUUCGUCACGUGCAUCACGUCGAUUGCGGAGAGGACCUCUAGGUCUUUCCAAUAUGGCAGGUCCCAAAAUAUAGAUUUCUUCUUCCACAUGGGUGCGCGUCCGUCAGCGUCCUUCGGAACAGGUUGUCCGCCAGGACCCUUUCCAAAUAUCACCUUCAAAUCCUUGACCAUAUCAUGUACAUCAGCACCAGUAUGGUGGCGAGGCUUCGUCCGGUGAUCCGCCUCACCUUUGAAAUGCUUGCCUUUCUUUCUUACGGGAUGCCUGCUCGGAAGAAAUCGACGAUGUCCCAGGUACACAUUCUUCUUACAACUAUUCAAAUAUAUACUGUCGGUAUCAUCCAAACAGUGCGUGCAUCCGCAGUAUCCCUUGUUUGUCUGUCCUGAAAGGUUACUGAGAGCAGGCCAAUCAUUGAUGGUCACGAACAGCAACGCCUUUAGGUCAAAUUCUUCCCCAUGUGCUCAUCCCACACAGGUACACCUGUUCCAUUCCAUAGUUGUAAGAGUUCUUCAACUAAUGGCCUUAGGUACACAUCAAUGUCGUUGCCUGGUUGCUUAGGGCCUUGGAUGAGCACUGGCAUCAUAAUGAACUUCCGCUUUAUGCACAACCAAGGAGGAAGGUUAUACAAACAUAGUCACAGGCCAGGUGCUAUGGUUGUUGCUCUGCUCCCCAAAAGGAUUAAUGCCAUCUGCGCUUAGACCAAACCAUACGCUCCUUGCGUCAUCUGCAAACUCCUUCCCGUACUUUCUUUCAAUUUUUCUCCACUGCGACCCGUCAGCGGGUACUCUCAACUUUCCGUCUUUCUUACGGUCUUCUCUAUGCCAUUGCAUCGCCUUGGCAUGCUCUUUGUUUUGGAACAAACAUUUCAAUCGUGGUAUUAUAGGAGAAUACCACAUCACCUUGGCAGGAAUCUUCUUGCUGGGGCGCUCGCCCUCGACAUCACCAGGGUCAUCGCGGCUUAUCUUAUAGCGCAAUGCACCACAUACCGGGCAAGCGUUCAAAUCCUCGUACUCACCGCGGUAGAGGAUGCAAUCAUUAGGGCAUGCAUGUAUCUUCUGCACCUCUAACCCUAGAGGGCAGACAACCUUCUUUGCUUCGUACGUACUCUCGGGCAAUUCGUUGUCCUUUGGAAGCAUAUCCUUUAUCAUUACCAGCAACUUUCCAAAUCCCUUGUUAGAUACACCAUUCUCUGCCUUCCGUUGCAGCAAGUCUAGUGUGGUGCCCAGCUUUUUCUUGUCACCUAUGCAAUUCGGGUACAACAAUUUUUUGUGAUCCUCUAACAUGCGCUGCAACUUCUUCUUCUCCAAAUCAUUUGUGCAGUUUCUCUUUGCAUCGGCAAUGGCCCGACCUAGAUCAUCAACGGGCUCAUCUGAUGCCUCUUCUUCAGCUUCUUCCCGCAUUGCCGGCUCAACUUCUUCCCGCAUUACCGGCUCAGCUUCUUCCCCCAUUGUUGUAUCAUUGUAUUCAGGGAACCCAUGGCCAGGAUAGCUGUCGUCGUCCUCUUCUUCUUCAUUGUCUUCCAUCAUAACACCUCUUUCUCCGUGCUUGGUCCAAACAUUAUAGUGGGGCAUGAAACCGGACUCAAACAGGUGGACGUGAAUGGUUCUUGACGUAGAGUAAUUGCGACCAUUCUUACAGCCAGCACAUGGACAAGGCAUAAAACCAUCCGCCCGCUUGUUUGCCUCAGCCGCAAGCAGAAAAGUAUGCACGCCCUCAACGAACUGGGGAGAGCAUCGGUCAUCGUACAUCCAUUGCCGACUCAUCUUCAUUACACAACACCGAAUAGACCAAAUUAAUACAAGUUCAUACAUAAAGUUCAUACAACACUUAAAUGCAACAAACAAAUAACUCUCUAGCUAAAGCAUUUAAAUGCAAGAACAAAUGCGAUCAAGAUCGCAACUAAGGUAACAAUUGAUCCAACAACAUAAUGAUACCAAGCCUCACUAUCGAUGACAUAUUUUCUAAUCUUUCUAAUCUUCAAGCGCAUUUUCUCCAUCUUGAUCUUGUGAUCAUCGACGACAUGCAACUCCAAUUCCAUCUUCUCCCCCUCAAUUCUUUUCAAUUUUUCUUUCAAGUACUUGUUUUCUCUUUCAACUAAAUUUAACCUCUCGACAAUAGGGUCGGUUGGAAUUUCCGGUUCACAUACCUCCUAGAUAAAAAUAUCUAUGUCAACUUGAUGGGCAUAAUUUGUCAUAAACAUGAAAUGCAACAAAUAGUUUUAAAAGAGAAUAUACCACAUCCGAAUCAUAAUAAGGACGAGGGCCGACGGGGACGGAUAUCAAAACCAUGGCACUAUGUAUAACAAACAACGUACGGGUAAGAUAAUUAUACGAGUAACUAUAUAUCCAAAUCACACAAACAUCAAUUUUUUAUAUAAAAUUUCAUGAACAAGAGGCUCACCACAAGGUGGUGCCGGCGACGGGACGGUGCGGGCGAUCGACGGUGGUUACGACGGAGAUUUAGAAGGCACUAAGUAAAACACACCUACAUAUGCAAACUAAGUGUUAUUUUGACCUCAAAUUGCAUAUAAAUCAAAUACUACCACAUAUAAUUCCUCCCAAAUUACUAAAACCCACAAUUAAUCACUAUAUAAACCAAUGCAAGAGCUAAUCUAGCAAUGAGAGAUGAAAGGACAAAGUUGCUAACCUUGGUGAUCAUUUGAAUGGAUGGGGGCCUGCAAAUCUUGACAAAUUUGGGGUAAAUUUUGUGAUGAACUCGAGAGGAAGAAGGGAAGAACAGAGGAGAGGGAGAGGGGAAAGGGGGAAGAACAGAGUGCGGGUGGACGAAGGGUUUAUAUAGGACGACCUUUAGUACCGGUUCGUGCCACGAACCGGUACUAAAGGUGCUGGAAGGGCCUCACUCUGACAACAUCCUGCCAUCAUUUUCUUUAGUACCGGUUCGUGGCACGAACCGGUGCUAAAGGUUCGCCACGAACCGGUACUAAAGAGCUCCUCCCGCCUAGCCGUUGGAACCGGCACUAAUGGACACAUUAGUGCCGGUUCUGUUACAAACCGGGACUAAUGUGUCUCACAUUUGACCCUUUUUCUACUAGUGCAGUUACCACAAGCUGCACUAUGUCCUUUCUGUUGCACUGGCGAGUGAGCAGCCGCCGUUCACGUCAUAGGCGUUGUCACAGACUAAUCUUUUUGCUGGUUGGAUAUAAAGAUUUGUUUGGAAGAUUUGUGCUGCUGCUGCUUAUUUAAAAUUUGAUUAUUCUUUGACUAUUUGUUUUUUUUUUGAGUAGUAAUACCAACAUCUUGGGUCCGCAUCAGUCUACUAAAAUCAAGUCAUCCACUCAUGUUGUUUGUGCAGAUCUUUGUUUUCUCAUCUCAACAAGGUAGAUGAUGAAUAUUCAAACUGGCUGUAAGUGAGGUGGACCAAUGUAAACUGGCUAAAAAUAUAUUUUACGAGUGUGAUUUCUGUAACCAUACAUGUUAAUGUACAUAACAUGUUAGAGAUCUCCUUUCUCAUUGUAAGUUGUUUUAUACACAAUAAGUUUGUACAAUAUGUAGCCUUCCAAUCAGAGAUGUAUGAAUUUUAAGCUAAGUGAGGCUCUUUCAAUCUCCACACAUGAGUCUUGAGAUUGCUUUCUCCUCAGAGAGCUUGAGGACUAAUCAUAAUAAAUUGCUUCCAAGUACAGUAGUAGAUGCAGACAUAAUGAAUUCAGUACUAUAUGUUCUAUUUUCUAGAUUAUACUUGCAUCUUACGCUCCCUUUAUUAUCAAUAUCAUCUUACGCAUUUCCCAUGGUAUCACAAUUAUUGAAUGCCAUGUUCAAUCCGUAACUAUCAUAGUAGUUUCCGUUUUUUAUUGCCAUGCCGCUGAUUGGUCAUACAACAUUGAUAGGUGAGGUAAAGGAGAAGACACAUGUAGUCGUGUCAUGAUAACAGUUGCUGAAUGCAACUCAAGACUGUACGAAACCAGAAAGAAAGACAGGGUAGGCAACAUUCAAGGAGCAAACUAACUAGCGUUCAAAUAAUCUGUUGGUGAGAUCCUUAUGUAGGUGUGUUUCUCACGAAACAAGCUGUCUUAACUAUCUGAUAAGUUUGUACUAUUUCCUGGUUGUUUUUAUUGGCUUAAAUUUCUUGCAGUAUAAAUAUUUUGGCCUAUUUAGAAUUUUCGAUACAGUAUAUUGGUGCUUGGAAUUGAACUCCGCGACAAUGAUACAUUAUCAAUGCCAUUUUUGUUCCACAUUAAGGGGCUCUAUACGGUUGUCCAUUUUAAUAUUGUAUAGUCUAUGUUAUUUUUUAUUUAACCAAUUUAUAACCAUAAUUUGCCGCAACAACGCGCGGGAUAUCAUCUAGUUCUUGAUGUGGUCCGUCCCAUACCCUGGGCCAACCUGGAUUCGGCCACGCCCCGGGCUAACCUGCUUAGCUACAGUGUCGAUGCCCGCUACAGUGUCAAAAUCAGCUACAGUACACAAAGAAUUGCCAGGCCAUCGCCCCUGUUGCCUGGCUACGCCCCUGCUCUCUCUUACAAUUUUCUUUUUACUCUAAACCCAUGGCUGUACAUGUCCUGUGUGGACCUAUAGUGCUCUUUCCCUGUGAUUUUGCCUCUUUCUCUGUGAUUUUGCCUCUUUCCUCUACUUCUCUUUUCUCCUUUUUGAUUGAAGCACCAACUUCUUCUGCCAUUCGGCUCUGCAAGCAGCAUCCUUUUCCUUUCUAUGUUUUUUAAUCCGACGUGGAUCAUGGGGUAUCACUCCAGCAUGAAGCGUUGGCCAUGCCCUAAGUGUCUCACGUAAAUUAUGAAUGCAUGGUGAGCAGCAUCCGACGUGUGGCCCGAGUACGUACCUAGUACGUCCACACGCACAGCCAUGCCAGCACAGAUCACAGAUGUGUGCUUUACUGUUCAAUAAGUAUUACUGUAACUUGUGCCUGUACGCGCGCGGCCGCCUCUGACUACCCUAGAGAUUCUAGCGAUAAAAAAAAUUUGAUACUCGUAGGGACAGUGUUUUUGCAGGCACGCUUUAACACAUACGGUCUACACGUUAGCUGGCUGGAACAGCAGCCAGUGGUCAUACCCAGCUGCUGCUUGAUCAUUUUGGGCUGCUCUUCGACCAACUCUGCUAGCUGGACUGUAUAGUUACUAGCGUGUAGUGCGCAGCGGCACGCCGCGCCAUACUGAUUGUUGUGCGACGAUUUUCCUUUUGAAGCUCUUAAAACUUUGUUUAGUACUUGGUUGAUAACAUAGUCAUUCACACAUAUAGAUAAGGUUCAUUGAGUCAACACAGGCAGAGUGCAACGUUUCUACUUUCCACUUAGAUUUGAGAUCCUCGGCUAAGUUUGUUUCUUUGAUACAGUGGUAGAGAACUGGCACCGCGCUUUAUUUGCAUGUUUCAGUGAAGUUUUGUAUAUAUUGAGAAAAGGCUCAUGUGUUGGUUAUCCAUUUGUUGGUUUCUUCAGGAAUGUGAUUCUUGCCUACAGGUGUACAUGCAAACAUAGAUUGAUGACUAUAAGUAGGGUCUGUUGGUAACUUGGUAAUGCAUAACUCAUCGCCCAUAGUAAGCCUACACACUUAUAAGCCAAUUACACCAUCGUCGCCGGUUGGGGUGCGGAGAGGGGAGAUGGAGAGGCGGCGCGCUGGCGCCUAGGAUAAGGAGUGAGGAAUCGAUCGGGAGUUGUGGCUAGGGUAGGAGGGGAUUGCUGGAGGCUACGUACUGUGAAGAAAGAAGGGCACAUACAUGAGCAAAGACUUGAGAUGUUGGGUUGUGCGUGGGCCGGGCUUUUACGCAGGCAUUUGUCCAUGUGCAUCUAAUCUGUCUGAUCGAUUACUUUGGUUAACUAAAGUACAAGACCGGAAUUCCUAAAUUAAUUUUGGUUCUUACAAAGUGCAGACUGAACUAAGAAUUGGAAUUUUCGGCUUCGGUCUUUUCGGAUUCGGUCCCGGUUUUUUCUGUUCGGUAGUUGGGUGCUAGGUUAAUAUGCCCACCCCUACAUGCAUGUAUAGCCACUCAAUAAAAACAGAACAGUUUUUCAAACCAUGCAAGCAGUCACUGUUCACGUAACAUGCAAUUAACUGAUAUCUGCUAUAUAUAUCACCCAUCAAUAUACGUGCUGGGAUUUCAUCAAUUAUUAGUCCAAGUCUAUUAACUCUACUCUCUUCGGACAGUAGGUUUGUAAGGAGAAAUAGCAAUAAACCAAUGAAAAAAUAGGAGCUUCACAAAAGUAUCGAUUUAGUGCCUGUUCGGUUUCUCUCCGCUCCCGUGACUCAGAUCCCGGAGCGGAGCAGGCUGUUGCAGCUUUUUAUGGAGCAGCUCAAACCGAGCUCUGCAGCUCCGUGGAGAACGGAGUGGAGAGAUUCCAAACAGGGCCUUACUCUUAGAAAAAAUGACGUUGUAUUCUUUUACAUUCAGAAAUUAGCUGCUCUGAAUACACAUACCAAGUGUUUAACAUGCAACUGCUUACAUAGACUGAGAAUACACAUAUACUGCAUACCACACAACCACAACCAUGCAUGAGUGUUGUCAACACCCGGGUCAGUAGCAACCGUCACCAGUCCUCAUUGGCCAUAAAUAAAAUAUAGAAAAAAUUCUGCAUAGUCCACCCAUUGUUGCAUGCACACUUGUCAUUUUUUUUGCUAAACCAACCCACCAAUUAAUGAUGAGAAUCCUCAUACAGAUGCAUCCCUACAAAUACUAAAUCAAACUUAAACGAAAGGAAGUCACUAACACCAAUUGUCAUGCAACCAGCCAAUAUGAGAAAAGAAACACAGGUCAUGAAACCAUUAGUCAGUGGGAAUCAAAUCAAAGCAUAUGCAGUCAUUAAUUGACUCUCAAGAGGACUCGCAUGUAGAUGAAUGAGGCGAGACAAAUAGUAGGUCCUAAGUUAAAAACGUGCAAGAUUAUGAAGUUGUCCUGUCAGUUCAUGUUUACAUAUCCGCAAGAAGUUUUGUGCGUAAGAAAGUUUUCAGUAAGUAGUUUUCAGUAAGCUGAAGAGAGUCUUGUGCUUUGAGAGCUUAUCUUCUGAAGGCGAGAAACAAUCACCGAACGCCGUCGCUGCACCAGAGACGGAAGUAAUCCCGCCAUCGAGAGGACAACGAAAGGGGGGCGUCGCCAAAUCUGUGCUGAUUGGGAGAACUUGUGCUGGAGAAAUAACGUAUGUAACACAUCGCUGACCAAGACGCUUGAUCUGUAGCCGGCGAGGAAAAAAUAGCAGCUUCACACUGCUUCUAUUUGUGCUUCCACCUUCCCACGUUGGCAUUCUGUAUGGCGAUCGGUGACUUUGCUAGCUCUUGCACUAUUCAUGCUUCCGUAUCAAGCACCGGUUGCAGGUCUGUUCAUUCAGAUCAAGGGCCAGCUAGCAUUUGACUCCCGUAGUCCGCAGGAAAAGGGCGUGGUGGAGAGGGUGACUUGCUGCUGGGAGGAUCUAGCGAGAGCACGAAAGAAGAGGCG